Molecule: ribosomal RNA, 492 nt
Filed under: uncultured bacterium
Lineage: Bacteria
Description: partial 16S ribosomal RNA
Rfam family: Bacterial small subunit ribosomal RNA
Source: RNAcentral
AGUGAACGCUGGCGGUAGGCCUAACACAUGCAAGUCGAACGGCAGCACAGUAAGAGCUUGCUCUUACGGGUGGCGAGUGGCGGACGGGUGAGGAAUACAUCGGAAUCUACUUUUUCGUGGGGGAUAACGUAGGGAAACUUACGCUAAUACCGCAUACGACCUACGGGUGAAAGCAGGGGAUCUUCGGACCUUGCGCGAUUGAAUUAGCCGAUGUCGGAUUAGCUAGUUGGCGGGGUAAAGGCCCACCAAGGCGACGAUCCGUAGCUGGUCUGAGAGGAUGAUCAGCCACACUGGAACUGAGACACGGUCAAGACUCCUACGGGAGGCAGCAGUGGGGAAUAUUGGACAAUGGGCGCAAGCCUGACCCAGCCAUACCGCGUGGGUGAAGAAGGCCUUCGGGUUGUAAAGCCCUUUUGUUGGGAAAGAAAAGCAGCAGGUUAAUACCCCGCUGUUCUGACGGUACCCAAAGAAUAAGCACCGGCUAACUUCGUG